Molecule: ribosomal RNA, 468 nt
Filed under: uncultured bacterium
Lineage: Bacteria
Description: partial 16S ribosomal RNA
Rfam family: Bacterial small subunit ribosomal RNA
Source: RNAcentral
GACGAACGCUGGCGGCGUGCUUAACACAUGCAAGUCGAACGGAAAGGCCCUGCUUUUGUGGGGUGCUAGAGUGGCGAACGGGUGAGUAACACGUGAGUAACCCGCCUUUGACUUUGGGAUAACUUCAGGAAACUGGGGAUAAUACCGGAUAGGAGCUCCUGAUGCAGGGUGGGGGUUGGAAAGUUUCGGCGGAUGGGGAUGGACUCGCGGCUUAUCAGGUUGUUGGUGGGGUAGUGGUUUACCAAGGCCUUGAGGGGUCGGCGGGCUGAGAGGGUGAGCGGCCACAUUGGGACUGUGAUGCGGCCCAGACUCCGGCGGGAAGCAGCAGUGGGGAAUGUUGCACGAUGGGCGGAAGCCUGAUGCAGCAACGCCGCGUGCGGGAUGGCGGCCUUCGUGUUGUAAACCGCUUUCGCCUGUGACGAAGCGUGAGUGACGGUAAUGGGUAAAGAAGCACCGGCUAACUACGUG